RNAcentral lists this transfer RNA (72 nucleotides) under Nitrospiraceae bacterium. RNAcentral's name for it is "tRNA-Thr". It matches the Rfam family "tRNA". From Rfam's summary of the family: Transfer RNA (tRNA) molecules are approximately 80 nucleotides in length. Lineage: Bacteria; Pseudomonadati; Nitrospirota; Nitrospiria; Nitrospirales; Nitrospiraceae. The record is from RNAcentral.
GCCGGGGUAGCUCAGUGGCAGAGCAGCUGAUUCGUAAUCAGCAGGUCGUGAGUUCAACCCUCAUCCCCGGCU